UGAGGAACAUGACCUUCGGCGGGGGAUAGCCGGCCCAACGGCCGGGUAAUACCGCGUACGACCACAUGGGGACAUCCCUGAGUGGUGAAAGCAGCAAUGCGCCGAUGGAGUGCCUCGCGGCCUAUCAGCUAGUUGGUGAGGUAACGGCUCACCAAGGCGACGACGGGUAGCUGGUCUGAGAGGGUGACCGGCCACACGUGGGACUGAGACACGGCCCAGACCUCCGUACGGGGAGCAG
Molecule: ribosomal RNA, 238 nt
Filed under: uncultured bacterium
Lineage: Bacteria
Description: partial 16S ribosomal RNA
Rfam family: Bacterial small subunit ribosomal RNA
Source: RNAcentral